GCAGGGUAGCCUAGUGGUUAGAGUGGAGGGGCGGCAGGGUAGCCUAGUGGUUAGAGUGGAGGGGCGGCAGGGUAGCCUAGUGGUUAGAGUGGAGGGGCGGCAGGGUAGCCUAGUGGUUAGAGUGGAGGGGCGGCAGGGUAGCCUAGUGGUUAGAGUGUAGAGGUGGCAGGGUAGCCUAGUGGUUAGAGUGGAGGGGCGGCAGGGUAGCCUAGUGGUUAGAGUGUAGAGGUGGCAGGGUAGCCUAGUGGUUAGAGUGGAGGGGCGGCAGGGUAGCCUAGUGGUUAGAGUGUAGAGGUGGCAGGGUAGCCUAGUGGUUAGAGUGGAGGGGCGGCAGGGUAGCCUAGUGGUUAGAGUGUAGAGGUGGCAGGGUAGCCUAGUGGUUAGAGUGGAGGGGCGGCAGGGUAGCCUAGUGGUUAGAGUGGAGGGGCGGCAGGGUAGCCUAGUGGUUAGAGUGUAGAGGAGGCAGGGUAGCCUAGUGGUUAGAGUGUAGAGGUGGCAGGGUAGCCUAGUGGUUAGAGUGUAGAGGAGGCAGGGUAGCCUAGUGGUUAGAGUGUAGAGGAGGCAGGUAGCCUAGUGGUUAGAGUGUAGAGGAGGCAGGGUAGCCUAGUGGUUAGAGUGUAGAGGAGGCAGGGUAGCCUAGUGGUUAGAGUGUAGAGGAGGCAGGGUAGCCUAGUGGUUAGAGUGUAGAGGAGGCAGGGUAGCCUAGUGGUUAGAGUGUAGAGGAGGCAGGGUAGCCUAGUGGUUAGAGUGUAGAGGAGGCAGGGUAGCCUAGUGGUUAGAGUGUAGAGGAGGCAGGUAGCCUAGUGGUUAGAGUGUAGAGGAGGCAGGGUAGCCUAGUGGUUAGAGUGUAGAGGAGGCAGGGUAGCCUAGUGGUUAGAGUGUAGAGGAGGCAGGUAGCCUAGUGGUUAGAGUGUAGAGGAGGCAGGUAGCCUAGUGGUUAGAGUGUAGAGGAGGCAGGGUAGCCUAGUGGUUAGAGUGUAGAGGAGGCAGGGUAGCCUAGUGGUUAGAGUGUAGAGGAGGCAGGGUAGCCUAGUGGUUAGAGUGUAGAGGAGGCAGGUAGCCUAGUGGUUAGAGUGUAGAGGAGGCAGGGUAGCCUAGUGGUUAGAGUGUAGAGGAGGCAGGGUAGCCUAGUGGUUAGAGUGUAGAGGAGGCAGGGUAGCCUAGUGGUUAGAGUGUAGAGGAGGCAGGUAGCCUAGUGGUUAGAGUGUAGAGGAGGCAGGGUAGCCUAGUGGUUAGAGUGUAGAGGCGGCAGGGUAGCCUAGUGGUUAGAGUGUAGAGGAGGCAGGGUAGCCUAGUGGUUAGAGUGUAGAGGAGGCAGGUAGCCUAGUGGUUAGAGUGUAGAGGAGGCAGGUAGCCUAGUGGUUAGAGUGUAGAGGAGGCAGGGUAGCCUAGUGGUUAGAGUGUAGAGGAGGCAGGGUAGCCUAGUGGUUAGAGUGUAGAGGAGGCAGGUAGCCUAGUGGUUAGAGUGUAGAGGAGGCAGGUAGCCUAGUGGUUAGAGUGUAGAGGAGGCAGGGUAGCCUAGUGGUUAGAGUGUAGAGGAGGCAGGGUAGCCUAGUGGUUAGAGUGUAGAGGAGGCAGGUAGCCUAGUGGUUAGAGUGUAGAGGAGGCAGGGUAGCCUAGUGGUUAGAGUGUAGAGGAGGCAGGGUAGCCUAGUGGUUAGAGUGUAGAGGAGGCAGGUAGCCUAGUGGUUAGAGUGUAGAGGAGGCAGGUAGCCUAGUGGUUAGAGUGUAGAGGAGGCAGGGUAGCCUAGUGGUUAGAGUGUAGAGGAGGCAGGGUAGCCUAGUGGUUAGAGUGUAGAGGAGGCAGGUAGCCUAGUGGUUAGAGUGUAGAGGAGGCAGGGUAGCCUAGUGGUUAGAGUGUAGAGGAGGCAGGGUAGCCUAGUGGUUAGAGUGUAGAGGAGGCAGGUAGCCUAGUGGUUAGAGUGUAGAGGAGGCAGGUAGCCUAGUGGUUAGAGUGUAGAGGAGGCAGGGUAGCCUAGUGGUUAGAGUGUAGAGGAGGCAGGGUAGCCUAGUGGUUAGAGUGUAGAGGAGGCAGGGUAGCCUAGUGGUUAGAGUGUAGAGGAGGCAGGUAGCCUAGUGGUUAGAGUGUAGAGGAGGCAGGGUAGCCUAGUGGUUAGAGUGUAGAGGAGGCAGGGUAGCCUAGUGGUUAGAGUGUAGAGGAGGCAGGGUAGCCUAGUGGUUAGAGUGUAGAGGAGGCAGGUAGCCUAGUGGUUAGAGUGUAGAGGAGGCAGGGUAGCCUAGUGGUUAGAGUGUAGAGGAGGCAGGGUAGCCUAGUGGUUAGAGUGUAGAGGAGGCAGGGUAGCCUAGUGGUUAGAGUGUAGAGGAGGCAGGGUAGCCUAGUGGUUAGAGUGUAGAGGAGGCAGGUAGCCUAGUGGUUAGAGUGUAGAGGAGGCAGGGUAGCCUAGUGGUUAGAGUGUAGAGGAGGCAGGUAGCCUAGUGGUUAGAGUGUAGAGGAGGCAGGGUAGCCUAGUGGUUAGAGUGUA
Molecule: long non-coding RNA, 2482 nt
Organism: Oncorhynchus keta (chum salmon)
Lineage: Eukaryota; Metazoa; Chordata; Actinopteri; Salmoniformes; Salmonidae
Exons: 4
Source: RefSeq, a predicted model, not a curated record